RNAcentral lists this long non-coding RNA (12295 nucleotides) under Pelobates cultripes (western spadefoot toad). Lineage: Eukaryota; Metazoa; Chordata; Amphibia; Anura; Pelobatidae. The record is from RNAcentral.
CUUCCAUCCUGCUGGAGUGGGUACCAGCCAGCCCCUCCUGCCCUGAUUGUGAACACAGAACAUGUUUGGAUGAAAUCUUCUAUUUUCUUUACAUGACCUCCAAUUAUGACACAUCUUGAAAUCUCCCGUUUAAUGCCUCCCCCUACAAGGGGGAAGGUAGGUAUGUUUGGCAUGCUAGGGGGAGCAGAGGUAAUAUCACGGUACAUGUGUGCAUGUGUGGCCCUUAUUUUGCCAUUUGUAAUCCCUAUUGCCCGUUGUAACUGCUGGUGUGCACUUCUUAGGUAACUUCUAAACCUGCUUAAAUCAGAAUUCAGAGGUGUUCAAAGUAAAAGUUUUUAAGCAGGAUAUUUGAUUGGGAACCGUUUUACUGCUAAGAUGUUUUUGAGAAAGAUUAAGAAGCGAGUGUACUCUAGUACUCUAUUUAUAUGAGAGAAGGAGAGAGUGUGUGUAUGUGUGUGUGGUGGUGUGUGUUUUGUUUUUAUUUUUUUAAAUAGCAUCAUGUUCCGAUUUGAUUUUUUAAUUAGGACUGUAUGAGAGACAAGCAGGGUUAUUUACUAAAGAAAGAAUUCAAAGUAAAUUUCACGUUUUCGAACCAGAGUAGCUGACCUAAAGGCAUAGAUGAUUUUAGAGAAUGUUUCCAGCUCAGCUAUUUAAACCUUAAAUUUGUAAUUCACGUUAAAAUCUCACUUUAGUGAAUAACCCUGUAUGUGGCUUUGGGGCUGUUUGUAUGUUGACGAUAACUUUCAAAAUCUAUACCAAGAUGGGAGAGUUAUUCACAGUCUUCUGUAUCACAUUCAGUGCGUUAUUAAUCUGUCAUGUGUUCUAGUUACUAUAUUGAGAUAUUGUUAUUAUUAUUGCCAUUUAUAUAGCGCCAACGGAUUCUGUAGCGCUUUACAAUUUUAUGCGAUGGGGGAUUUAACUAUAAAUAGGACAAUUACAAGAAAACUUACAGGAAUGAUAGGUUGAAGAGGACCCUGAUCAAAUGAGCUUACAUUCUAUAGAUAUGAAUCAGAUUAGCCCAUUUACUUAAUUCGAAUUUAAUCUUGAGUCAUUCAAUGACAUAUAUAUUGAAUUACCACAUACACAUAUAUAUAUAUAUACAGUGAGGGAAAAAAGUAUUUGAUCCCCUGCUGAUUUUGAACGUUUGCCCACUGACAAAGAAAUGAUCACUCUAUAAUUUUAAUGGUAGGUGUAUUUUAACAGUGAGAGACAGAAUAGCAAAAACAAAAAAAAUCUAGAAGAACGCAUGUCAAAAAAAGUUAUAAAUUGAUUUGCAUGUCAAUAAGUGAAAUAGGUAUUUGAUCCCCUAUCAAUCAGCAAAAUUUCUGGCUCCCAGGUGUCUUUUAUACAGGUAACUAGCAGAGAUUAGGAGCACUCUUUUAAAGGGAGUGCUCUUAAUCUCAGUUCGUGACCUGUAUAAAAGACACCUGUCCACAGAAGCAAUCAAUCAGAUUCCAAACUCUCCACCAUGGAGAGCUGUCCAUGGAUGUCAGGAACAAGAUUGUAGACCUACACAAGGAUGGAAUGGGCUACAAGACCAUCGCCAAGCAGCUUGGUGAGAAGGUGACAACAGUUGGUGCAAUUAUUCGCAAAUCGAAGAAACACAAAAUAACUGUCAGUCUCCCUCGGUCUGGUGCUCCAUGCAAGAUCUCACCUUGUGGAGUUUCAAUGAUCAUGAGAACGGUGAGGAAUCAGCCCAGAACUACACGGGAGAAUCUUGUUAAUGAUGAAAUUUGGCCUGGGCACUUUUGAGUCUCAGUGGCCCACUGAGAAGGGGGCGGGACCAGAGAAGGGGUGUUUUGUCAUCACCAAUGACAGGCACGCCCCCUCUCAAAGUGAGCAUGUUGGUUCAGUGCUCUUGAAGGGUGCAAUGUGUGAGGAGUGCAGUGUGUGUGUGAAUGCAGCAGUGUGUGUAAGGGGUGCAGUGUGUGUAUGUGUCUGUGUGUGUGAAGGUGCAGUGUGUAUGAAGGAGAGUGCAGUAUGUGUGUAUGUGUCUGUGUGUGUGAGUGUAGUAUGUGUGUGUGUGAAGGGUGCAGUGUGUCAGGAGUGCAGUGUGUGUUUGGUGUGCAGGAGGGGGGAAUAAGUGCAGUGUGUGUGAGGGGUCUGGCAUUAACUCAACUCGCCAUGUUUGGAGGAGGUGGAAUGCUGCCUAUCACCCCAAAAACACCAUCCCCACCAUCAAACAUGGAGGUGGAAACAUUAUGCUUUGGGGGUGUUUUUGUGCUAAGGGGACAGGACAACUGCACUGCAUCAAAGGGACGAUGGAUGAGGCCAUGUACCGUCAAAUCUUGGGUGAGAACCUCCUUUCCUCAGCCAGGGCAUUGAAAAUGGGUGGCUCAAGAAGAAGCACAUUAAGGUCUUGGAGUGGCCUAGCCAGUCUCCAGACCUUAAUCCCAUAGAAAAUCUGUGGAGGGAGCUGAAGGUUCGAGUUGCUAAAUGUCAGCCUCAAAACCUUAAUGAGAGGAUCUGCAAAGAGGAGUGGGACAAAAUCCCUCCUCAGAUGUGUGCAAACCUGGUGGCCAACUACAAGAAACGUCUGACCUCUGUGACCUCUGUGAUUGCCAACAAGGGUUUUUCCACCAAGUACUAAGUCGAAGGGGCCAAAUACUUAUUUCACUCAUUGACAUUCAAAUCAAUUUAUAACUUUUUUGACAUGAGUUUUUCUGGAUUUAUUUUUUGUUAUUCUGUCUCUCACUAUUACAAUACACCUACCAUUAAAAUUAUAGACUGAUCAUUUCUUUGUCAGUGGGCAAAUGUUCAAAAUCAGCAGGGCAUCAAAUACUUUACUUUUUUCCCUCACUGUGUGUAUAUAUAUAUAUAUAUAUAUAUAUAUAUAUAUAUAUUAGCCAUUCACAUGCAACUUGCUGCACACACAAAGCGACCUAAUGCAUAGACCUAUGCUGGCACACAGAUACACGUUAGCACACAUACAUAGAAACUCUAAUCAUCAGACACACAAAUGUAGAUGCACAUGCUGGUGUGACUGUGUCAUCAUUAAUUUCUGACAGUUAUGUUUGAGGAUCUUUGAUCUUUGCUCUCCCCACUGGCACGUGAAGACACACAGCAAGGUUUGUGCAUGGGCCACCAGGAGAGAUUAAAGGAUCUCCCCUGUCGGUCGUGGCCCAUGACCAUCACGACCCACAGUUUCAGCAUACAUUUGUAUUAUUUUAGAUGUCAUUUUCAGUUAUAUAUUGCAUUUCCACUAAGAAUUUCUUCAAAGGAAAGCUGUCACUACUCUGGAAGUUACAUAGUUGAAAAUCACCUAUAAAUAUGGCAGAUUUACAUAAUAGGUGGCUGUAGGCACAAAAUUCUAAAUGACCCCCGAUCCUUACCCUUCCAAACAAAAACAAAAAAACUCUUAACUUUAUAUGAUAUAAUUUUUUUUUAUAUAUAUAUAUAUAUAUAUAUAUACAUACACACACACACACACACACUCUGUGUGAAUGUGUAGCAGUGUGUGUAAAUGUAUUUUUGCAUGUCCGUGUGUAUGUAUGUCUGUAGGUGUUUGUGCAGCAGUUUGUGUUUGUAACAUUGUGGGUAGCAGCGUGUGACGUGUUCAAGUAACCUACUUUUUUCAAUACAUGAAAUACAUCCUAUCCUUACCUCUUAUGCCACUUUACCCCACUUCUUUCAGAAUGUAAGCUCGUUUGAGCAGGGCCCUCAUCACACUCUGUUUCAGUUUGUCCAACUCUUCUUUACGCGAAUACUUGUCUGUUAGUCCACCUAUUGUACAGUGUUUCAGAAUUUGUUGGCACUUUAUAUAUAAUAAUAAUAAUAGUAGUUCCUCCAAAGUGUCACUAAGGAAGGACAGUUCCUAUUUUGGACCAAAUCUCUCUUGCUCUUUUCUACCCUUGUGCAGGGCCAGAUUAAGAGCCCAGAGGGCCUGGUGCUGACAAUAAUGAUGGGCCUAAGUACAGAAUCUUAUCGACCAAAAACACUAAAACAGUCAUACCUCUCAAGCGUUAUGUAUCUGGUGGAGAUGUUGCCGGAGGGAAUCUCAUAGGAUGCAGCUAUAAAAAAACUCAGAUUAUCUUAAAAUAGGCUAAUCUCUCUCUAAUUAAUGUUUUCAUCUUUCAAGUAAAUCCAAACCCCCUAACAGCAGUGUCCAGUGAAGCAGGAAGUCAAUGGGUGGUGUAAAAAGGUGGCCCACUGACGCAGAUCAUGAAACCAGAACUUCCGAAAGGAACGAACAUGCCCAAAAAGGAGGCAUGUCUGCCCAAAGAAUUAGAAGGCUAGCCUUGCAUGAAUGCAUGUCAGGCUGCCUGCCAAUCAUACAUGCUGACUAACAGCAUCCUGAGCGUGGCAUAAAUGCGUCUGAUGAUGCACUCGCUCCACACUUUCUAAGGACUGUCCCCUAGCACUCGCAUGCCCACUUGUCUCCUUACCUUCUUACUAGCAGGCAGAAGCUCCUGCUAUACAGUCUGAGACAGAGAAAAGGUGGAUGUAGUGAGUGUAGAAGAAAGAAAACAUGCCACAGUGCUGGAGAGACCAAAGUCAGCAUUACUUUAACUAAUUUCAUUUCAGCUAGUCCACACAAGUUUUGUUUCCAUAAAUCCCUCUUAAGUUUCCAUACUUAAGCAAGAGUAUGUGAAGAGUAGUUAGGGUUGCCACCUUUCUUGGAAAAAAAAAUACAGGCCUUGCUAAUUUGCAUAUCUAAUUAUGUAUGUGUGACAUCACAUGAUGUAAAUCACAAGGAGUGACAUAAGAGAAAAUUCUGUAAAAUCACCAAAAAACUACUUACAGUUUGAUUCUACUGUAUAGAUGGAUUGCUCCCAGUGUCCCCAUGUCACCGAAUGUCCCCAUGUCUCCCAUUGUCCCCAUGUCACUGGGGGACACUGUGAGUCAUGGGGACAAUGAGACACUUGGGGACACCGGGAGACUUGGGGACACUGGCAGACACUGUCCCUAUGGAUCACAGUGUCUCAGUGCCCCAUGUCUCCCAGUGUCCCCAUGUCUUUGUGUCCCCAUGUUGCCCAGUGUCCCCUAGUGUCUGUGUCCCCAUGUCUCACAGUGUCCCCAUGUCACUAGGGGACACUGAGACACUUGGGACACUGGGAGACAUGUUGACACAGGGAGACAUGGGGACACUGAGACACUAGCAACACUGGGAGACAUGGGGACACUGAGACACUAGGGACACUGGGAGACACGGGCACACAGACACUAGGGGCACUGGGAGACAUGGGAAUACUGAGACACUGGGAGACAUGGGGACACUGAGACACCAGGGAUACUGGCUGGGAGACAUGUGGACACUGAGACACUUGGGGACAUUGUGUCCCCAGUGUCUUAGUGUCCCACUCCCCAUGUCUCCCAGUGUCCCCAUGUCACCAGGGGACACUGAGACUCUUGUGGACACUGGGAAACAUGGGGACACUUUGACACUAGUGACACUGGGAGACAUGGGGACACUGAGACACUGAGAGUUUUGUCAUGCCUAGGGCAGCACCAGGAUACACCACUGGUCUUUGGACUUAAAAGCCAUUUUAGUUUUAGUCGUAUUUUAGUCUUCUGAAUUGUUUUAGUUUUAGUUUUAGUCGACUAAAUCUCCAGUAAAUUUUAGUUGACACGACUAAAAUCUAAUAGGUUUAGCUAAAGCCUCUAUCAUACUUUUUUGACCCUUCCCAAGCCCCUCUGUGUCUCUUUAUGUCCCCACAGCCCCUCUGGGUGUCACCACCCCAAGCCCCUGUCAGCCUCUUUUGUCCCUUCCCCUGUCUCAUGUGCACCAUCCCCAGGCCCUCUGUCUUUUUCUCUCCACAGAUCUAUUUGUGUGUCUCUUCCCCAUAGCACCUCUCUUUCUCCUACAGCCUCUCUAUGUUGCUUUUCGCCCCCAGCACCUCCAUGCAUCUCAUUCCUCCACGUGUCUUAUUCCCCCAGACCCUUAUUCAUUUUCCUCCCCAAUGCCUCCAUGUGUCUUUUUCCCCCAGCCCUCCCAUAUUUCUCAUUCCCCAGUCCCUCCUCAUGUGUGUCUUUCUCACAGACCCCCAUGUGUUUUAUUCUCACAACCCCCAUGUGUCAUUCCCCUAGUCCCCCAUGUGUUGUAUCCCCCAAACCCUCUCAUGUGUCUCAUUCUCACAGCCCCCAUGUGUUUCAUUCUCACAGCCCACCAUGUCUCUCAUUCCCCUAGCCCCCCAUGUGUUUCAUUCCCCAAACCCCCUGUGUCUCAUUCUCAAAGCCCCUCAUGUGUCUCAUUCUCACAGACCCCCAUUUGUCUCAUUCCCCUAGCCCCCAUGUGUUUCAUUUCCCUAGCCCCCCAUGUGUCUCAUUCCCCCAGCCCCCCCAUGUUCCCAUUCCCCAGCCCCUAUGUGUCUCUCAUUCUCACAGCCCCAUUUGUCUCAUUCCCUAGCCCCAUGUGUUUGCUUCCCUAGCCCCAUGUGUUCUAUUCCCAGCCCCCCAUGUGUCUCAUUCCCAUUUCCCCAGCCCCCCAUGUGUCUCAUUUCCCCAGCCCCCCAUGUGUCUCAUUCCCUCAGCACCUCAUGUGUCUCAUUUCUUCUCCUCCCUACCCCAUGUAUCUCAUCCGCUAGUGUUAAUUUUGGCGACAAAUUUAGUUUUUGACUAAAAAGUCAUUUAAGUUUUUGUUUUUGUCUAGUUUUAGUCGACUAAAAUUAAAGUGCCCUCUCUGUCCAUAUGAAGUGGUAUGGUAGUCUGUAUGUUGUUUUGGAACGCUGUGGAUAGUUGCAGUAUACAGGCAGUGGGUGUAAUAGUAUCUGUGUGUAGCGUUAUAGGCAGCAAUGCGAGUUGCAGUGUGUGUGUAACAAUCUGUGCAGCAGCCUGCGUAUAUAUACAAUCUGGAUAACAGCAUGUGUAGCUCUGUCUAUGUGUGUUCCUGUCAUUUCGGAGUUGGUCGUUCUGUUCCAGUUCUCUCACCUAUCCAUCCUGCAGAUCACUGUGUUCAGUCUGAGGGGGCGGGGCCAUGCACAGAUCACUGUGUUCAGUCUGAGGGGGUGGGGCCAUGCACAGAUCACUGUGUUCAGUCUGAGGAGGCGGGGCCAUGCACAGAUCACUGUGUUCAGUCUGAGGGGGCGGAGCCAUGCACACAUCACUGUGUUCAGUCUGAGGGGGCGGGGCCAUGCACAGAUCACUGUGUUCAGUCUGAGGAGGCGGGGCCAUGCACAGAUCACUGUGUUCAGUCUGAGGGGGCGGGGCCAUGCACAGAUCACUGUAUUCAGUCUGAGUAGGCGGGGCCAUGCACAGAUCACUGUGUUCAGUCUGAGGGGGCGGGGCCAUGCACAGAUCACUGUGUUCAGUCUGAGGAGGCGGGGCCAUGCACAGAUCACUGUGUUCAGUCUGACGGGGAGGGGCCAUGCACAGAUCACUGUGUAAAGUCUGAGGGGGCAGGGCCAUGCACAGAUCACUGUGUUCAGUCUGAGGGGGCGGGGCCAUGCACAGAUCACUGUGUUCAGUCUGAGGAGGCGGGGCCAUGCACAGAUCACUGUGUUCAGUCUGACGGGGCGGGGCCAUGCACAGAUCACUGUGUUCAGUCUGAGGGGGCGGGGCCAUGCACAGAUCACUGUGUACAGUCUGAGGGGGCAGGGCCAUGCACAAAUCACUGUGUACAGUCUGAGGGGGCGGGGCCAUGCACAGAUCACUGUGUUCAGUCUGAGGGGGCGGGCCAUGCACAGAUCACUGUGUUCACAGCCAUGCACUGUGUUCAGUCUGAGGGGGCGGGGCCAUGCACAGAUCACUGUGUUCAGUCUGAGGGGACGGGGCCAUGCACAGAUCACUGUGUUCAGUCUGAGGAGGCGGGCCAUGCACAGCUUACUGUGUUCAUUCUGUGGGGGUGCACAGAUCACUGUGUUCAGUCUGAGGGGGCGGGGCCAUGCACAGAUCACUGUGUUCAGUCUGAGGGGCGGGGCCAUGCACAGAUCACUGUGUUCAGUCUGAGGGGGCGGGGCCAUGCACAGAUCACUGUGUUCAGUCUGAGGGGACGGGGCCAUGCACAGAUCACUGUGUUCAGUCUGAGAAGGCGGGGCCACACACAGCUCACUGUGUUCAUUCUGAGGGGGUGGGGCCAUGAACAGAUCACUGUGUUCAGUCUGAGGCAAUGGGGCAGUCUGAGGGGGCGGGACCAUGCACAGAUCACUGUGUUCAGUCUGAGGGGGCGGGGGGCUGUGGGAGGGGGCGGGGCCAUGCACAGAUCACUGUGUUCAGUCUGAGGGGGCGGGGCCAUGCACAGAUCACUGUGUUCAGUCUGAGGGGGCGGGGCCAUGCACAGAUCACUGUGUUCAGUCUCAGGGGGCGGGGCCAUGCACAGAUCACUAAAGCCUCUAGUGGCUGUCUCAUUGAUAGCCGCUAGAGGCGUUUGCGUACUUCUCACUGUGAAAAUCACAGUGAGAAGAUGCCAGCGUCCAUAGGAAAGCAUUAUGAAUGCUUUCCUAUGAGACAGGCUGAAUGCGCGCGCAGCUCCUGCCGCGCGUGCGCAUUCAGCCGAAGAAGAGGAUCGGAGGCGGAGAGAAGGAAGAGAGCUCCCUGUCCGGCGCUGGAGAAAAGGUAAGUUUAACCCUUUCCUCGCCAUCCAGCCCGGCGGGAGUGGGACCCUGAGGGUGGGGGCACCCUCAGGGCACUAUAGUGCCAGGAAAACAAACUCUUUUUCCUGUCUCUAUAGGGUCUUUGGGUACCCCCCACCCACAGGGUCCCACUCCCGCAGGGCUGAAGGGGGAGGAAGGGGUUAAAUUCUUACCUUUCUCCAGCGCCGAGCUCCCGCUGGGGACUCAGUGAGAAGCGUGGAAGCUCCUCUAGCGGCUGUCAAUGAGACAGCCACUAGAGGCUGGAUUAACCCUAAUGUAAACAUAGCAGUUUUUCCUGAAACUGCUAUGCUUACAGCUUCAGGGUUAACCCUAGAUGGACCUGGUACCCAGACCACUUCAUUGAGCUGAAGUGGUCUGGGUGCCUAAAGUGGUCCUUUAACAGGCAAAGUUGGCGCCCUCAUCAGGCAUGCACCUGUAGGCAAGUACCUAAUAUGCCUAAUUUGAAGUCAGGCCCUGCCUUUAUUUGCUCUGUUUCCUUUUACAUUUAUGUCAAAGAUUUAGGAAAAUGCAAAUAACACCUGCAUGUAACUUUCACAGCUUUCCUGAACACAUCCCGAAAAGGAACCCAGAUAUCCUAGGUUACUUUAUUGCACAUUCUGUAUAAUAUAGAAUUUCUUAUAUCCUGCUCUGUUAAUAGCUUUCUAGACCCAGCAGGAGUCUCAUGAGUGUGAUAAAAGGUAAAUUUACAGAGCUGGAGAUAAAAAAAACUUCUAAAGGAAGUUAACCCCUUAAGGACUGAGCCAAUUGUACACGUUUUGAUCAAAAUAAAAUGUAAACAAAACUUGAAAUUUGGUAGCAGAGAAGAUAUAGGUGGCACUUAGGAAUAUACAAGUUUGGUGCUGCUAAAUUACCCAAGUAUACUGUCACUUAAUCUACUUAAAAGAAAGAAUAUAGUGUAAAGAUUAAAAAAUGAAAGCGCACACAAUAAAGGAGUUUUUACCUUGUGUGCAUUACACUUGAUAGAAAUGAUGUCAAUAGUUCCUAUACAAGGAUAAAAAUAAAACACAACGUAGUGUAAUCUGUAUAAAUAUUUUGUAAGAAGAGGUGAAAACUCGAAACACUCACAAUUUUCUGAGCCCAUUAAAGUUGGCUCUGAACUUAUAGAGCAUAUAUGUCUUCUUUAUGGAUGUAAGAAGUUGAAAUCAGGAACUCCAAAAAUGGAAGUAGGUGACUAAAAGCAAUUUUAUUUGUAUGUAUAAAACCAAACACAAAAAAUAAAAUAAUAUGCACAACGCGUUUCAACCACAAAAAAGGGUCUUUCUCAGGUUCUGCUGAAUGUUCCACUGGCAUAAACAUGCUUUUAUAAAGGUACAUCAAUUAAACAAAAAAAACAAUCAAACACACAUGUUACAUAGGAUACUCCUAUUUCCAUAUAUGGUCCGGACCGGAUGCGCAUUCUACCACUUCCAAAAUGGCGGAGCUUCCGGUUCGGACAUAUUUCUCCACCAUAUUGGUGGUCUUAAAUGCAUAAAAUACAUACAGAGGAAAGGAAUAUCUAUAAAAAAUACAUAAUCCUAUAAAUAAAAAAACUAUUGUUUAAAACAGGGGUCCUCAAACUACGGCCCACCAGGGUCCUGAACCCAAGCACUCAGAGCCACCCGAUGGGCCCUGUAUCUUCAGGGGCCCGGUCAGCGCUGCAGCUGUGCAAAAACGCGACCGUGCCCCUUUGUAUGUAUGUAUGUCUGUCUGUAUGUAUGUAUGUCAGUAUGUGUGUGUGUAUUUCUGUAUGUAUGUAUGUCAGUAUGUGUGUGUGUGUAUGUAUAGAUGUAUGUCUGUAUGUCUGAAUGUAUGCCAGUAUGUGUGUGUGUGUGUGUAUGUAUGUAUGUCAGUAUGUAUGUAUGCCUGUAUGUCAGUAUGUGUGUAUGUGUGCGUGUAUGUAUGUAUGUCAGUAUGUAUGUAUGUCAAUAUGUAUGUGUGUAUGUAUGUAUGUCAGCAUGUGUGUAUGUAUGUAUGUCUGUGUGUAUGUAUCUGCAUGUAUGUGUAUGUAUUUCAGUCUGUAUAUAUGUCUGUGUGUGUGUGUAUGUAUGUAUGUCUGUGGGUAUGUAUCUGUAUGUAUGUAUGUCAGCAUGUAUGUCUAUGUGUGUGUGUGUGUGUGUGUGUGCAUGUCUGUGUGUGUCUGUCUGUAUGUAUGUCAGUAUGUGUAUGUAUUUCAGUAUGUGUGUGUGUGUAUGUAUGUGUAUGUAUGUCCGUAUGUAUGUAUGUAAAUGUAUGUUUGUUUAUGUAUGUAUGUCAGUAUGUGUGUGUGUAUUUAUGUCCUUAUGCGUGUGUGUGCAGCAUGCAUAGGAAUUUGUUCAUAUUUUUUAUAGUAUGGCCCCCAACAGUGUCUGAGGGACCGUGAACUGGCCCCCUGUUUAAAAAGUUUGAGGACCCCUGGUUUAAACCAUAGUUCUGAAUAUUUUCCAAAUUAUCUGAGAUCGUAAUGAUCGUGUGGAUAUCUGUCGCGUCACAUCCUGUGACGUGUUCCUGUUCUGGCUUGAUAGUCCGUUGCGUCAUUUCUGGUGACGUAUUCUUUUUUGGUUAUACACCUCCGACGGGGGCUGGCAUUGUCCAACAGAUGAUAGACCUCCCAACCUUAGAAUUCAUAAUGUAAAAUUUUAGAAAAUUAUUAAAAACAAAAAAUAAAUUUUUUGAAAGAAAUUUCUUGGGAAAAUGUUUUACUAAAACAUUUUUUUAAAGAAUUUUUCAAAAUUUGAAUUCUAAGGGUUUGAAUCUGGACUUUAAGUUCAAAGUUUUUCACCUUAUCUUUUAAUGUAUUUUUGCACAUACUUUUUUUAUCUGGUGGUUUUGAUUCCUUUUGGGUUUUUAUGGUUAACAUUCUUCUCCAUUUAUUUUGUUGUUAUAUACUCUCUACUUAUUAUCCUUACCUUUUUUAGUCUUUUUAUAAGUAUUUAUAAUAUUUUUAAUUAUUUUUUUUGUCCUUUUGUCUUUAUGCAUAUGUUGGGACUUUAUACCAUUUUAUAAAUGGCGCCCGCGACCUCAGGCACAUGAGACUCAUAUGCUUCUAUGCAUUUUGUUUUAUCACUACUAAAAUCUGAACCUACAUACUACUUCAGAUUAAUGAACACAUGUUAAUUUGGACCAGCAGGGUUAUUUAAUAAAAUGAGAUUUCAAAGUGAAUUCAAGGUGAUUUUUUUAAGGCCAGAGUAGUUGGAAUGAAAACAUGCUGAUUUAGAGAAUUUUUCUAGUUUGACUAUUUUGACCUUAAAUGUGAAACACCUUGAAUUCACUUCCAAUUCUCCCUUUAGUGAAUAACCCUACAUCUAUCUGGAUUUGUAGGUCUAAUCCGAUUAGUAACUCUAGCCGUAAUUCUAAUAAGAGACCUGAUAUUUAUUCUAAUUUAACAUUGAUUCUAAAUGCUAUACUAACUGCAACCAUAAUACUAAACUUAAUUCUAACCACAAUAAUACAUCAUGAAAUUAAGGUUUAGUGAUUGCUGUGAGAGCCAGUCACAGUGAUUAAAUAUCUUAGCAUGUUUGUGUUUUGUUCCUAGAAUGUUCAAAAUGUGUGGGGCAAUCAGUGCAUGUUUUUUGGAAUCUCUUACAGUGAGGCAUCCUUCAAUAGCCUGGCACAUGCCAAAUCCAAUUUCUACAGAAUACAGAGGAUACGUGGAGCCUUCCUUACUCCAGAGCAGCUUUAGAAGCCAGGAUACCCUUUCUGCUCCUCCCUCCCAACCUGCAGUAUUUCAUUGUGAUUGGCUUUGGCACUUCCCGGUUUAGACAAACUUAUUACAGAUGCUGCACAGCCUGGGAACUUGCAACAAACACAGG